CCAUUCAAUAUCAAUGGAUGUAUUCAUUCUAGAGGUAAAUCAUUUACAUCAUUAAAUUUAAGCAUGCAUACUUUCCUCAGCCAGAUGUCAAUAUCAAUGAUUUGUUGAGUUUGAAACAAUAGGUCAAUGAAUCGGUAGUGGAAUUCUUAGAGAGAUUCAGAGCCACGACUGGUCAAUGUUCGAUACAAUUUCUUGAAGCCAAAUAUAUGGUUACUGUCAUAAGUAAUAUGCAUUCUCAAUUGAGAGAAAUGUCGGUGGCUCAAGCAUGUAGUGAUAUGAAUCAACUAGCUUCAAGGGCUACCAGAAUAUAACACUUCGUUAGAUAUAAGGAACAAAAAUGAGAAAGGGAUGAGGUCAUGGCAACCAUAAUCAUUAGGGUCAAACCUUACUUUUGUCCAACGUUGAAGACUUCCAAGACCAUAAACUCCAAUACUACCAGUGGUAAAUUUGAGUAAGCAUUUGAUAUUUCGAAAGAUUAUCAAAUUUUUUAUUAUCUUCUCAAAGAUCAACAAAUACAAUUGAUGCAUGGGCACAAAAUUCCUUCAGCUGAUGAGAUAAAAGAUAGAUAUAUUGCAAAUGGAAUAACUAAUAUAAUCACAACAUUGCCAUCUGUUUUGGAAUUUCGAUAGGCUAUUUAUAGAUCUAUCAAAGAAGAUUUAAGCUAGCCAACAAGAGCACUGAGGAGAUUAAAGUCAAUACUAAUUUUUCCCUAACAUUGAUAUCAACAUGGUUUCAUGCAACCCCAAUUGGCAAAAAGAGCAAUCUGUUUG
RNAcentral lists this long non-coding RNA (770 nucleotides) under Glycine max (soybean). RNAcentral's name for it is "long non-coding RNA (GMAX_LNC000092)". Lineage: Eukaryota; Viridiplantae; Streptophyta; Magnoliopsida; Fabales; Fabaceae. The record is from RNAcentral.